This 498-nucleotide ribosomal RNA is filed under the name uncultured bacterium. Its description in RNAcentral is "partial 16S ribosomal RNA". It matches the Rfam family "Bacterial small subunit ribosomal RNA", at positions 28 to 508 of the family's 1533-position model. The record is from RNAcentral.
GAUGAACGCUGGCGGCGUGCCUAAUACAUGCAAGUCGAGCGAACAGAUGAGGAGCUUGCUCCUCUGACGUUAGCGGCGGACGGGUGAGUAACACGUGGAUAACCUACCUAUAAGACUGGGAUAACUUCGGGAAACCGGAGCUAAUACCGGAUAAUAUAUUGAACCGCAUGGUUCAAUAGUGAAAGACGGUUUUGCUGUCACUUAUAGAUGGAUCCGCGCCGCAUUAGCUAGUUGGUAAGGUAACGGCUUACCAAGGCAACGAUGCGUAGCCGACCUGAGAGGGUGAUCGGCCACACUGGAACUGAGACACGGUCCAGACUCCUACGGGAGGCAGCAGUAGGGAAUCUUCCGCAAUGGGCGAAAGCCUGACGGAGCAACGCCGCGUGAGUGAUGAAGGUCGUCGGAUCGUAAAACUCUGUUAUUAGGGAAGAACAAAUGUGUAAGUAACUAUGCACGUCUUGACGGUACCUAAUCAGAAAGCCACGGCUAACUACGUGC